GGACCCGCACAAGCAGCGGAGCAUGUGGUUUAAUUCGAAGCAACGCGAAGAACCUUACCAGGGCUUGACAUCCCUCUGACAGGUGGGUAACGCCACCCUCCCUUCGGGGCGGAGGAGACAGGUGGUGCAUGGUUGUCGUCAGCUCGUGUCGUGAGAUGUUGGGUUAAGUCCCGCAACGAGCGCAACCCUUGUCAUUAGUUGCCAUCAGGUAAAGCUGGGCACUCUAGUGAGACUGCCGGGGAUAACUCGGAGGAAGGUGGGGAUGACGUCAAAUCAUCAUGCCCCUUAUGUUCUGGGCUACACACGUGCUACAAUGGCCGGUACAGAGAGAGGCAAACCCGCGAGGGGGAGCAAAACUCAAAAGCCGGUCCCAGUUCGGAUUGCAGGCUGAAACUCGCCUGCAUGAAGUCGGAGUUGCUAGUAAUCGCGAAUCAGAAUGUCGCGGUGAAUACGUUCCCGGGUCUU
RNAcentral lists this ribosomal RNA (465 nucleotides) under uncultured bacterium. RNAcentral's name for it is "bacterial SSU rRNA". It matches the Rfam family "Bacterial small subunit ribosomal RNA", at positions 917 to 1382 of the family's 1533-position model. The record is from RNAcentral.